Alligator sinensis (Chinese alligator) is the source of this 1748-nucleotide long non-coding RNA. RefSeq lists it as uncharacterized. NCBI's taxonomy places the organism in Eukaryota, Metazoa, Chordata, Crocodylia, Alligatoridae. The record is from RefSeq and is a predicted model, not a curated record. The transcript is spliced from 2 exons.
CCAACUCUGCAGUUCUACUCCAGCAAGCAAUUAUUGGCAUUCAGACAACAACUUGGUACACAUAAUUAUAAUGUCCAAGUAAUUAUAGAUCUAGGGCUGCUGGUAGGAGAACAGUUCAAUUGCGACAGUCCGGUCAUUUACCAGAACACCAGGGUGAGCUGAACGAGGAGAGAAGCUGCUAACAGAAGAAAAUGAUCAGGACUCUCCCUGGAUAUUUGCAGGUACGAAGUAGCACACUUUGUCCCUACCUGGGGCCCCCCCUACAAGGGCUACACAUUCAAAUACCUUGACUGUGGGAGUCGUGUGUAGGAAAAUCUGAACUCUCAAGCUGCGCCACUGCUGGAGGGCAGAGAAUCUGCAAACCUUCGGCUGAAAGGCACGCUUAGUCCUGGGAGGCUGCAGGUGUCCAUAUGCCACAGCUAGGAGACAUUAUCCAUUAGCGAGGGGUGAAGACAAAAGCUGUGGGACUUCUUUCUCCUGCUGCUUCCAACUGCGGUGAACAGUGUCACUUCCAAAACCCAGCUGAACAGAAGAGACUGCCGGGGAGUAAGUAGCAGCUGCUUGUGAAGAAGGUUCCCAGAAAAGUAGUGGCCCUGCAGCCCACGCUGCUGGCAUCCAAAUGACCUAUAAUAGCAACAUUUCACUACAGCCAAGUGAAGCCUUGGGUUAGCUGGCUGCUCUACAUCCACCAGGACGUAAGUGCACCUCAAAUGCGGAUGCCACUGCAUGGAGAACCAGAAGAGAAUGAUUGCAAUGCUUUUCGAUGCGCCACGUCUUGGGUCCCUAGUCUGAAUGCCUGGGGGAGAUACAGAUUUGAAUGCUGUGAAGGAAGUAGUGCCUAGAAAAACAUUUCAAUCAUUUUCUUGCUUCUGGUUCUCAUCAAUAGAUCGUGCACUCUGGAGACCAUUGCUGAGCGGAAAGUAAGGUGAAAGAGGUUCACAUUGCCCGUCUGAGGAAGACUGGUCAAAAAGCUGCUUGGAUUUGGGUCCCUUUACUAGACGAUGAUUCCUGCUUUUUUUGUUGUUGGUAUUUUCUGCACUCUUCUAUGGAAGACAUCAACAUCAAAUCGAGUCCAUGGACAUGUAGGAUUUAAUCAAAGAUACACCUAGGUUUAGAAGGGAUUUGGAUAGUGCCUGGGUGCUCUUUAGUGGUUGAGGUAAUCCUGACACCAACGGAAAAUGGCUAUUUCCAAAUGAACAUGUGGAAGCAUUGUGUAUAGAUGUAAAAUAUUUUUAUUUGUAAAUGCUGAUCUUCUAAAUCUGUUUCCACAAAUUCCAAAACCCAUAACACUCUGUAUACUUCAAAAAAUUCUUUUUUGCCAACAUUAGAUACUAUUAUACAGAACAGAAAAAAAAACGGUAGGACAAAUACUGGUAGGAUGUUGGAAUAUUGUACAAGAGAAGAAAAAUAUUCAAGAAACAAUUUCAUACAGCUAUUUAUCAAGAGAAAAAUAUAUACAAUUGAUUUUUCUGUAAGAUAAAAAUACAUCAUGCCAUAUACAUUACAAGUUCCGAACUGUAUUACUGAAUAUACCAACAGUUUACAGUCCACUUUAAUUGUGCACACAAAAAAAAAAAAACUUCAUUUUUUUUUUUUAUAUUUAGCCUGUGAAGUGUCAGUACCAGAAUUUUAAGUACAAAAUAAAAAGCUAACCUGGUUCAAAAUGCUGAUUAAGUUUCUACAAGCAAACACAAAACAGUGUUUUAUUUUUUUUAAAGAAAUGUAAACAAAAACAAUCCAUACAAACA